This 77-nucleotide transfer RNA is filed under the name Vibrio fluvialis. Its description in RNAcentral is "tRNA-Arg". It matches the Rfam family "tRNA". Rfam says of the family: Transfer RNA (tRNA) molecules are approximately 80 nucleotides in length. Their secondary structure includes four short double-helical elements and three loops (D, anti-codon, and T loops). The record is from RNAcentral. Lineage: Bacteria; Pseudomonadati; Pseudomonadota; Gammaproteobacteria; Vibrionales; Vibrionaceae.
GCUCCCGUGGCACAGCUGGAUAGCGCGGCCCCCUCCUAAGGGGCAAGUCUCAGGUUCGAAUCCUGUCGGGAGCGCCA